GUGGGGAAUCUAGCGCAAUGGGCGAAAGCCUGACGCAGCCAUGCCGCGUGAAUGAUGAAGGUCUUAGGAUUGUAAAAUUCUUUCACCGGGGACGAUAAUGACGGUACCCGGAGAAGAAGCCCCGGCUAACUUCGUGCCAGCAGCCGCGGUAAUACGAAGGGGGCUAGCGUUGCUCGGAAUUACUGGGCGUAAAGGGCGCGUAGGCGGACAGUUUAGUCAGAGGUGAAAGCACAGGGCUCAACCUUGGAAUUGCCUUUGAUACUGGCUGUCUUGAGUACGGGAGAGGUGAGUGGAACUCCGAGUGUAGAGGUGAAAUUCGUAGAUAUUCGGAAGAACACCAGUGGCGAAGGCGACUCACUGGCCCGUUACUGACGCUGAGGCGCGAAAGCGUGGGGAGCAAACAGGAUUAGAUACCCGUGUAGUCC
This 425-nucleotide ribosomal RNA is filed under the name uncultured bacterium. RNAcentral's name for it is "partial 16S ribosomal RNA". It matches the Rfam family "Bacterial small subunit ribosomal RNA", at positions 354 to 796 of the family's 1533-position model. The record is from RNAcentral.